ACGACCUUACUUGAACAGGAUCUGUUCUAUAGGAUCGUACCGCUGCAUCCUUUACCAAUAAGGAGGCAAGCACUUACGUCUGGUUGAUGACCAAGGACCUCUGGGCUAGAGCGUGAUUAAUGGCUAGGAUCUGUUCCAAUCGGAGCUAUAGGAUCGUACGGCUGUAGAGGAUCGUUCCUGCCAGGCCAGUCCUGAUCAGGAUGGCUCAGAGGUUGUCUGACAGACC
Phragmites australis (common reed) is the source of this 226-nucleotide small nucleolar RNA. RefSeq annotates it as small nucleolar RNA U3. Lineage: Eukaryota; Viridiplantae; Streptophyta; Magnoliopsida; Poales; Poaceae. The record is from RefSeq and is a predicted model, not a curated record. The transcript has a single exon.